AACGCGAAGAACCUUACCUGGGCUUGACAUGUGGGUGACCGGUGUGGAAACACACCUUCCCUUCGGGGCACCUUCACAGGUGGUGCAUGGCUGUCGUCAGCUCGUGUCGUGAGAUGUUGGGUUAAGUCCCGCAACGAGCGCAACCCCCGUCGCAUGUUGCCAGCAUUUAGUUGGGGACUCAUGCGAGACUGCCGGUGACAAACCGGAGGAAGGUGGGGAUGACGUCAAGUCCUCAUGCCCCUUAUGUCCAGGGCUACACACGUGCUACAUUGGCGCAUACAGAGGGCUGCGAUACCGCGAGGUGGAGCGAAUCCCUUAAAGUGCGUCUCAGUUCGGAUAGCAGGCUGCAACUCGCCUGCUUGAAGUCGGAAUCGCUAGUAAUCGCGGAUCAGCACGCCGCGGUGAAUACGUUCCCGGGCCUUGUACACACCGCGCAUA
This 438-nucleotide ribosomal RNA is filed under the name uncultured bacterium. RNAcentral's name for it is "bacterial SSU rRNA". It matches the Rfam family "Bacterial small subunit ribosomal RNA", at positions 958 to 1398 of the family's 1533-position model. The record is from RNAcentral.